GUGCCAGCAGCCGCGGUAAUACCGGCAGCCCGAGUGAUGGCCGAUCUUAUUGGGCCUAAAGCGUCCGUAGCUGGCCGCACAAGUCCAUCGGAAAAUCCACCCGCCCAACGGGUGGGCGUCCGGUGGAAACUGUGUGGCUUGGGACCGGAAGGCGCGACGGGUACGUCCGGGGUAGGAGUGAAAUCCCGUAAUCCUGGACGGACCACCGAUGGCGAAAGCACCUCGAGAGGACUGAUCCGACAGUGAGGGACGAAAGCUGGGGUCUCGAACCGGAUUAGAAACCCCAGUAGUCC
Molecule: ribosomal RNA, 293 nt
Filed under: uncultured prokaryote
Description: partial 16S ribosomal RNA
Rfam family: Archaeal small subunit ribosomal RNA
Source: RNAcentral